CUUAAAUUACAGUUAGAUGUAAUAUCUUAAAUUACAGUUAGAUGAUUCAAAAACAUUUAAACUACUGAUGCCUCAAUUCAUGUAAUUUUCUUAGUAUCUCGGCUUAUACUGGAGUCAAUAUUUUCCCAGUUUUUUUGUGGUAAAAUUAGGUGCCUCGGCUUAUAUUCGGGUCGGCUUAUACUUGAGUAUAGCCCGCUUUUCUCCCCGAGGCAACUAAUAGCCACGCACUGUGAUUAAUUUAAAACAAAGUAUUACAAUACUAACAAAACAAUUAAACAAUUAGUUGUGUGUGUGUCAUGUCAUGUUCCAUAGAUGAUGGUGGUUGGUGGUGUCAGCCUUAGCCGUUGGUGAUGGAAGGGGUUAAUGUCAAUCCUAGUUCUGAAAGGGCAGAGUAAUCUGUAAGUAAGAAGUUACAGGCAAAAGCAAUUAAGGGUGGAGGCUUGCAAGAGAUAGGAUGCAGCUGGGUUUAACUGGAGAUAAGGAGCUAGCCUGGAGACUGAUCUUCGGGAGAUAAGUAUUUGUCCUAUUUGGCUGUGGAUGCUGCUGGUUUGUCCCCCAGGUGCCCGCCUGUCACAUUUCUGUAAAGGACAGUCAUAUUAUGAAGCAAGGCCUCCUCGUGUCCCAUCAGUAUAAUCCUACUGGUUUGUUAAAUCCUAAACAUCUGCAGCAACAAGUAAGCACUUAAUUUAGAGAGCACCAAUGUGUACCUAAACAUAUGAUGUAAAUUUUACAGGAAAAGCUUUCAUUCCUUCAUUGCUGACAAAUAGGCCAGCGCAAUGUUUCAAAUAUGAUGAUUUUCUCUUUAGUACAUCAGUGUCCCAUAUUAAUUUCCACCAAUGAACAUGUUUUAUCUUAAAUUAACGCAAGCAAUAUGAAAGAAUUUUUUCCUGUUGUAUAACAAUGUGUUUAAAUAGUUAACCACAUACAAAAGUGUUUUUUUACUCUAUGUGCAAAACUGCAUCUAGUGUCCUUCAAAGGCUCUUUGAUUUCCCAAUGGAUUUGGACAUAGUUUUGAAUUUUAUAUAGGA
RNAcentral lists this long non-coding RNA (1028 nucleotides) under Anolis carolinensis (green anole). Its description in RNAcentral is "lncRNA (ENSACAG00000035546.1)". Lineage: Eukaryota; Metazoa; Chordata; Lepidosauria; Squamata; Anolidae. The record is from RNAcentral.